GACGAACGCUGGCGGCGUGCUUAACACAUGCAAGUCGAACGAUGAACCACUUCGGUGGGGAUUAGUGGCGAACGGGUGAGUAACACGUGGGCAAUCUGCCCUUCACUCUGGGACAAGCCCUGGAAACGGGGUCUAAUACCGGAUAACACUGCCACGGGCAUCUGUGGUGGUUAAAAGCUCCGGCGGUGAAGGAUGAGCCCGCGGCCUAUCAGCUUGUUGGUGAGGUAAUGGCUCACCAAGGCGACGACGGGUAGCCGGCCUGAGAGGGCGACCGGCCACACUGGGACUGAGACACGGCCCAGACUCCUACGGGAGGCAGCAGUGGGGAAUAUUGCGCAAUGGGCGGAAGCCUGACGCAGCGACGCCGCGUGAGGGAUGAAGGCC
RNAcentral lists this ribosomal RNA (384 nucleotides) under uncultured bacterium. RNAcentral describes it as "bacterial SSU rRNA". It matches the Rfam family "Bacterial small subunit ribosomal RNA", at positions 28 to 416 of the family's 1533-position model. The record is from RNAcentral.